CCUACGGGUGGCAGCAGUAGGGAAUCUUCCACAAUGGGCGCAAGCCUGAUGGAGCAACACCGCGUGAGUGAAGAAGGGUUUCGGCUCGUAAAGCUCUGUUGUUGGAGAAGAACGUGCGUGAGAGUAACUGUUAACGCAGUGACGGUAUCCAACCAGAAAGUCACGGCUAACUACGUGCCAGCAGCCGCGGUAAUACGUAGGUGGCAAGCGUUAUCCGGAUGUAUUGGGCGUAAAGCAAGCGCAGGCGGUUGCUUAGGUCUGAUGUGAAAGCCUUCGGCUUAACCGAAGAAGUGCAUCGGAAACCGGGCAACUUGAGUGCAGGAGAGGACAGUGGAACUCCAUGUGUAGCGGUGGAAUGCGUAGAUAUAUGGAAGAACACCAGUGGCGAAGGCGGCUGUCUGGUCUGCAACUGACGCUGAGGCUCGAAAGCAUGGGUAGCGAACAGGAUUAGAUACCCCAGUAGUC
RNAcentral lists this ribosomal RNA (465 nucleotides) under uncultured bacterium. RNAcentral's name for it is "partial 16S ribosomal RNA". It matches the Rfam family "Bacterial small subunit ribosomal RNA", at positions 338 to 795 of the family's 1533-position model. The record is from RNAcentral.